GACGAACGCUGGCGGCGUGCUUAACACAUGCAAGUCGAGCGGUAAGGCCCUUUCGGGGGUACACGAGCGGCGAACGGGUGAGUAACACGUGGGUGACCUGCCUCUAGCUCUGGGAUAAGCCCGGGAAACUGGGUCUAAUACUGGAUAUGACUCCAUGACGCAUGUUGUGGGGUGGAAAGCCUUGUGCGGCUAGAGAUGGGCCCGCGGCCUAUCAGCUUGUUGGUGGGGGAUGGCCUACCAAGGCGACGACGGGUAGCCGGCCUGAGAGGGCGACCGGCCACACUGGGACUGAGACACGGCCCAGACUCCUACGGGAGGCAGCAGUGGGGAAUCUUGCGCAAUGGGCGAAAGCCUGACGCAGCGACGCCGCGUGAGGGAUGACGGCCU
Molecule: ribosomal RNA, 387 nt
Filed under: uncultured bacterium
Lineage: Bacteria
Description: bacterial SSU rRNA
Rfam family: Bacterial small subunit ribosomal RNA
Source: RNAcentral